AUUGAACGCUGGCGGCAUGCUUUACACAUGCAAGUCGAACGGCAGCGCGGGCUUCGGCCUGGCGGCGAGUGACGAACGGGUGAGUAAUGCAUCGGAACGUGCCCAGUAGUGGGGGAUAGCCCGGCGAAAGCCGGAUUAAUACCGCAUACGACCUGAGGGUGAAAGCGGGGGACCGAAAGGCCUCGCGCUAUUGGAGCGGCCGAUGUCGGAUUAGCUAGUUGGUGGGGUAAAGGCUUACCAAGGCGACGAUCCGUAGCUGGUCUGAGAGGACGACCAGCCACACUGGGACUGAGACACGGCCCAGACUCCUACGGGAGGCAGCAGUGGGGAAUUUUGGACAAUGGGGGCAACCCUGAUCCAGCCAUGCCGCGUGCGGGAAGAAGGCCUUCGGGUUGUAAACCGCUUUUGUUCGGGAAGAAAUCCUCUGGGCUAAUACCCCGGGGGGAUGACGGUACCGGAAGAAUAAGCACCGGCUAACUACGUG
This 484-nucleotide ribosomal RNA is filed under the name uncultured bacterium. Its description in RNAcentral is "partial 16S ribosomal RNA". It matches the Rfam family "Bacterial small subunit ribosomal RNA", at positions 29 to 507 of the family's 1533-position model. The record is from RNAcentral.